This 1903-nucleotide long non-coding RNA is filed under the name Cricetulus griseus (Chinese hamster). Its description in RNAcentral is "lncRNA (ENSCGRG00015032967.1)". Lineage: Eukaryota; Metazoa; Chordata; Mammalia; Rodentia; Cricetidae. The record is from RNAcentral.
CUUGUAUAACUUUUACUCUUUUUCAGUUUUCUUUAAAGUAAUUGACUAUCAUAUUCUUUUUUUAAUUAAGAAGAUUUUUAUUCCAGAAAUUCAAAGGUGGCUUACAAAACCCCAAAACACCUAUUCAAGAUCUUUGUAUAGCCAGGCACAGUUUAAAGUCAGAUCUAGCCUUGGGGUUUAAAUAUGGUGCCGCGUCGUGCACAACUUUCACAUGAUGUCAAAAAAGAAAACGUGUAAGCCCGCAUUGUCCUCUUUAUUCAGCUUCUUAAUAUCCAAAUGGGAUAACUUGCAUUUAUUUCUGGUUCCUAAGGAAAACAAAGCAGAACAGAGUUCUAGAUCCCAGAUCCUUCCAGAGUAGCCCCGGCUGUCCUAACGACUUACAUUCAGAUUUUUAUGUGGCACGGUGACGCAUAUCCAUACACCACUACUUGGGAUGCUGAGGCAGAAGUGAGUUGGGGACACCUUGGACUGCAAAGACCACCUGCCUCUCUUGGGGUGGAGCCACCCAUGGUGGACAGAGUUCUCCUACAUCAACCAUUAAUCAAGAAAAUCCCCUGCCCGACGGGCUUGCCUACCGGCCAAUGUGAAAGAGGCAAUUCCUCAGUUGAGAGUCCCUCUUCCCAGGAACCAUCAGGUAUCGGGCUUCAGGAAAGCAGAUCUCCCAGAUAAACUGGUUGCUUCUCAUAAAUAGUGUCCAAUAACACUGCAAGGAGGAAGAGCCUAAUUACCCUAGGAUAGCCCACUUUGCCAACAAUGGAGGUAUUAUGCUGCUGUGGAGAGGACAAGUAGAAAAGUUUCUUCCAGGUAAUUGCAGAUUUAGGGUGAUGGAGGAAGGCUUGUAUCAUCAGGGAGAAUUUAACAAGCUUUAACAUGGGAAGUUUCUGCAAUUUUAGCCGAUUAUACUUAUGAUUCUAUAUUUGCCCAUUAAUUUGUUUUGAACCGAAUUAACGAAUGGUGUAUCUAGUUAAGAAAUGUGCUGUUUUCUGAUAUGGAAAUAAACAAGCUCAUCUCGUUUGGUUAAAACACUUCAGUAUCUAAAUAUAUAGUUUUUUAUUUGAAUGUGUGUUAAUCAUGAUUUAAAAAAUUAUCUACUAUUUCAACACUACAUUCUUUCAGCUUUAUAAUAAAGAAAACAUUAGCUAAUUUCUAGGUGAUAGACCUUUUCAUUAUUGCUGGCCUAGCUACUCAAAGGUUCAGAUGAUGCUUUGAAAGUAUAGGUGUCUCUUCAGUUCUGUAAACAAGUCACUAUCGUCCUCUUGUAACUCCUGGACAUGUGAUGUCCUUAAGAAAAAGAUGGAGAAAAGAAAGGAAGCUGGAGGGAGGAGGAAAGGGGAUGACAGAGGCAGAGAGGGGACAGGAGGGGAAAAGACAAAAGACAAAGCUGCUGUUUUACCAAGAAUGUGUGUGCUUGCGUAUGUAUGUGUGCCCAAAUUUAUGGUUCCACUUUUCCAAAUUAUAGACUUAACUUCAACAAGAAUUUAUUCAUACUGUUACUGAUGGUUGUUAUUUGAGAAAUUAAAGGGACAUGUACCCAUAAAAUAUUGCCUUGUUUUUAUAAGUAUUUCCACAGGCACCCACAGCUAAGCACUGAACCAUACUCCUGGAAUCUAGUUGUGGAGAGGGAGGAGGGAUGAACAAAGGAGCCAAGACAGUGCUAGAAAAACCCACAGAAACAGUUGACCUGACCAGUUGAGAACAUGGAGACCCCAGUCAUAAAGCUGAGGAACCAGCAUUGGACCGAACCAGGCCCUCUGAAUGUGGGUGUCAGCUAGGAGGCCGAGGCAGUCUAUGGGGCCUCUAACAGUGGAGCCAGUGUUUAUCCCUAGAGCACAAAUGGACUUUGGGAGCCCAUUCCCUAUGGAGGGGUACCACCACAGCCUAGAUGCAAUAAGGUGGGCCUAGC